UUAUCGGGCUGUAUUUGCGUCUUUUGGAAGUAUUGUCUUAGUUUCACCAGCAACCGGAAGUUGGAUUGAUAAGUUCGGGUCAAACUUAUCAACGUCGGUUCAAACAUUAUGACGUCGCUGAUAUGUCCGGGUCAAAGUUAUUAAGGCCAGGUCAACGUAUUUGACGUCACAAAGCCGUGAUAAUGGGUUUUAUUAAGAGCUGAGCAGAUUGAUAUAGACUGUUGG
RNAcentral lists this long non-coding RNA (225 nucleotides) under Mytilus galloprovincialis (Mediterranean mussel). Lineage: Eukaryota; Metazoa; Mollusca; Bivalvia; Mytilida; Mytilidae. The record is from RNAcentral.